GCCUCGGUGGCGUGUAUUGGUAGCACGCGCCCCUGGUAUGGAAGAAACGCGGGUUCAACUUCCGCUUGAGGUC
Non-coding RNA from Parelaphostrongylus tenuis, 73 nucleotides. NCBI's taxonomy places the organism in Eukaryota, Metazoa, Nematoda, Chromadorea, Rhabditida, Metastrongylidae. The record is from the annotation of a GenBank genome assembly.